Molecule: long non-coding RNA, 813 nt
Filed under: Paramuricea clavata
Lineage: Eukaryota; Metazoa; Cnidaria; Anthozoa; Malacalcyonacea; Plexauridae
Source: RNAcentral
CCAAUCAGAACACAGUAUUUCAGUGGUCUAUAUCCCAUAGUAUAUUAAUUCGUCAAGUGGUGUGGGCUUUGAAGCACUCUUCUAUAUAGAGCAUACUAAUGAGUCUAUUGUUUUCUUUUGUUCUGUAGCUUCAUUAGUAUGCUCUAUAUAGAGCGUACCAGUGACCACAUAGAGCAUACUAAUGAGUUACAUUUGAAGGCGUCAAAGACAAAUUGUUAACUGCAAAAACUUUUAUUUAAUAUAAAGCUCAAAAAUACAGCUGUACCUUCACACAAUCCUUACACAAAUACAAACACACACAAAUACACACACACACUCAACACUCCCAUGCAUGCACACACACGCCAGUCCGAGAUAUAACAAAUGAGUAUCGUUCAGUAACCAGUAUAGUGCCUGACGACGAGAACAGUUCUUCGUCUGCUAACGUUAAAGGAUCUGUCUGUCACAUUUUUCGUCGUGCUAAUGGCAGCAUUUGUCAUUUCUUUCAUCUUUGAAUCCAAAGCUCUAAAUGAUGAAAAAUUGGCGUCGUUCUUUGCCAGGAUGUUCAAAUGAAACCUCAUAUAUAAGAUCGUCUUUGAAAUGUCUGAAUAACCCGCAGUAACAAUGUUACAUAAACUGUUCGCUGGGUAUGACAGUUAUGGCUUGCCACCUCUCCUAGCUUCCAAAAACAAAUCUUGUUAACCAAUAGUCCAGAAAGCAAGAAAACUUGUGUCGCAUUAAUCGCUACAAGUUGCUUCGCUGCGACAGCCCCGUCCAUGCUUUCGAAAAACGCCUAUGCCAAUUACUGACAUAUUAAUGAACCCUAAAACCGAA